AGGUUCAAAUUAUUAUGGGUUUAUGGGGAAUGCCUUGGCGUCAAAAGCCGAAGAAGGGCGUAGCAAGUCUGCGAUAAGCCUCGGUUUGCUGACUAGCAAGCUUAGCCGGGGAUACCCGAAUAGGAAAACCUGAUCAUAUGAUCAACCUUUUUUAAAGGUAGGUAAGCAGGAGAACUGAAACAUCUAAGUAUCCUGAGGAAAAUAAAUCAAACGAGAUUCCCUGAGUAGCGGCGAGCGAAAUGGGAUCAGCCUAAACCGUGUGGGAUUUAUCCUGUGCGGGGUUGUAGGGCACUUUUUAUAAAAGUUACAAAAUGACAUUUUAGUAGAAUAGAUUGGAAAAUCUAACCAUAGAGGGUGAAAGUCCCGUAAACGAAAAGAUGUCAACUUUUUAAGUGUUCCUGAGUACGACGGGACACGUGAAAUCUUGUCGGAAUCCGGGGGGACCACCCUCCAAGGCUAAAUACUUUUGACGACCGAUAGUGAACUAGUACCGUGAGGGAAAGGUGAAAAGAACCCCGUGAGGGGAGUGAAAUAGAACUGAAACCGUAAACCUACAAACCGUGGGAGCUUGUUUUAUAUGAGUGACCGCGUGCCUAUUGAAGAAUGAGCCAACGAGUUACUUGAUAUGGCAAGAUUAAAUAGUUAAGCUAUGAAGUCGAAGCGAAAGCAAGUCUGAAUAGGGCGAUUUAGUCGUGUCAAGUAGACCCGAAACCGUGUGAGCUACCUAUGGCCAGGUUGAAGCGAGAGUAAAAUCUCGUGAAGGACCGAACCCGUGUACGCUGCAAAGUGCUGGGAUGAGCUGUGGGUAGAGGUAAAAUGCCAAACGAACACGGAGAU
This 837-nucleotide ribosomal RNA is filed under the name Chloroflexota bacterium. RNAcentral describes it as "bacterial LSU rRNA". It matches the Rfam family "Bacterial large subunit ribosomal RNA", at positions 1 to 846 of the family's 2925-position model. The record is from RNAcentral. Lineage: Bacteria; Bacillati; Chloroflexota.